This is a long non-coding RNA of Pomacea canaliculata, 1262 nucleotides long. RefSeq lists it as uncharacterized. The record is from RefSeq and is a predicted model, not a curated record. The transcript has 5 exons. Lineage: Eukaryota; Metazoa; Mollusca; Gastropoda; Architaenioglossa; Ampullariidae.
UUUGUUUUUAAAAUAACUACAGUGCUUUUAUCGAGUACACAGUUUAAACUGUACAAUCUAUAGCAACUCUCACAUUUCAUCAACUGACCCGAAUCAUAUUCUCAUGGCAGCUGGAGAAGGUGGGAGGACAUUGUCAAUGCCAUGACCAACUUUGCCGCCUUCAAACACAUCAAUGUGGUCCAUCUAUUAAAUCAUGAAUCUGUAUACAUGUCCGUGAUUAAAUGAAGCACGUUUCUUCUUUCUUUUCCUCUUUUAAUUCUUAAAUUGAUUUUUUCUUCUAUGCCCUUUACAUUGCCGUUUGACUUUUACUGUAUCCCAGCGUACAUUUGGAACUAGAACUUCGUGUUAUUUUUGUCCUAGAUUAUGUCCCCGUCAGCUACUCUUCUUUGCCCGCAUAGCUGCUUAAUUUUGUCUGCAUACCGUUUUACUUCUGUCCGACGAGUCUCCACUUUUCCGGCCGUAGUAACUAUGGGUGUCACGAUCUUGUGCGCGCGUUUCGAACCUGGUGACUCGACCUUGUGUGUUCAAACCCAGCGGCAGAGCUGUGCCCUGACCGUGUGGUCCAGCUCGUGCGCCCUGCUUGCAGGAGGAUAAGCUGGGGAGGAUUGUGUCGCACGUGAGUCAAAUCCUCAGGUGGAACUGUAAAGAACGCCCGCCCGGAGCUGCUGCAACACGCACGCACGAACUGGUGGUACCCGUGCCACGGAAUAGAUCGCAAAGUCUUUGCCACCCGCUUAUCGUAGUAAGGGCGUGAUACUCUGGCGGCACAGCACGCGAGCAGGUCCUAUAUAGGAAGGCCAGUCCAGUUCUCAAAUGCCUGAAUUCUCCUUUUCGUCUCGGCGAGCAGAGUCCACGUGAUGAAACAGGUUCUCAGCGGUUCAGGAAUUGGGAGUGUGUCGGGUUAACUUGUCUAUCUUCCAAAGUUAGGGCAACUUGACUCAUGGUGUCGGCAAACUAUUCCUGUUCGCUGGUUUUACACUCAAUCGUCUGCCGCACGAAGGCAAAUCGAUGAUAUAAUUGAGCACGUGUUCAAUGAUACAUAUGGCAGAGGCGAUAAGAGGAGACACAGCAUCUCAGUGCGUGCGUGUGUGCGUACGUGUGAAAGAGAGAAACGCGCGAGAGAAAUAUAUAGGGCUAGCUGUCAAUGUUUCGUGAAAAAACUUUUCAAAAGUCUGAAGAAGCAAAUUUAGAGACAUUUUUUAAAUCACUCCUAUGCAAUUUAAACAUGUACAAGCUGGGAACGAAAAAUAAAAACAACUUCA